AAUAGGGCCCAUCCAUACAGGCUAGGAAGGUGGCAAGAGCUGAAAACCUUGCAAACUGUUAACAAAAAAAGAGUUGAAACAAAGAAACAAUAAUACAUUUAAUGCAUGAGAAAUACUAGCAUGGUACAUACCCCCUUCCCUGAUCUGUCCUGCCUGGGAAUGUGUUUAUGGUGCAGUGUGUAUCACAACAAAAAUACUGUAUGGAGUAUUUUUUUUUUUUUGAGACGGAGUCUCACUCUGUCACCCAGGCUGAAGUUGCAGUGAGCCAAGAAAGUGCCACUGCACUCAAGCCUGGGCAACAGAGCAAGACUCCAUCUCAAUCAAUCAAUCAAUCAAUAAGGAUGUAUUUGGAAUUUCCGAUGAACAGCAUGAAGGGGCACGGUCCCUAGCGUUAAGAGGCACG
RNAcentral lists this long non-coding RNA (403 nucleotides) under Homo sapiens (human). RNAcentral's name for it is "HSALNT0118012". Lineage: Eukaryota; Metazoa; Chordata; Mammalia; Primates; Hominidae. The record is from RNAcentral.